GAUGAACGCUGGCGGCGUGCCUAAUACAUGCAAGUCGAACGGACGGGCGAGGAGCUUGCUUGUCUGAUGAUAGCGGCGGACGGGUGAGAAACGCGUGGAUAACCUACCUAUAAGACUGGGAUCACUUCGGGAAAGGGGCGCUAAUACCGGAUAAUAUUUUGAACCGCAUGGUGGAAAGGAGAAAGACGGUGGUGGUGUCAGUUAUAGAUGGAUCCGCGCUGCAUGAGGUAGUUGGUAAGGUCACGGCUUACCAAGGCAACGAUGCAUAGGCGACCUGAGAGGGUGAUCGGCCACACGGGAACUGAGACACGGUCCAGACUCCUACGGGAGGCAGCAGUAGGGAAUCUUCCGCAAUGGGCGAAAGCCUGACGGAGCAACGCCGCGUGAGUGAUGAAGGUCUUCGGAUCGUAAAACUCUGCUAUUAGGGAAGAACAUAUGUGUAAGUAACUGUGCACAUCUUGACGGUACCUAAUCAGAAAGCCACGGCUAACUACGUG
RNAcentral lists this ribosomal RNA (497 nucleotides) under uncultured bacterium. RNAcentral describes it as "partial 16S ribosomal RNA". It matches the Rfam family "Bacterial small subunit ribosomal RNA", at positions 28 to 507 of the family's 1533-position model. The record is from RNAcentral.